Molecule: small nuclear RNA, 123 nt
Organism: Oryctolagus cuniculus (rabbit)
Lineage: Eukaryota; Metazoa; Chordata; Mammalia; Lagomorpha; Leporidae
Gene: U5
Rfam family: U5 spliceosomal RNA
About the family: U5 RNA is a component of both types of known spliceosome. The precise function of this molecule is unknown, though it is known that the 5' loop is required for splice site selection and p220 binding, and that both the 3' stem-loop and the Sm site are important for Sm protein binding and cap methylation.
Source: Ensembl
AUACUCUGGUUUCUCUUCAGAUUGUGUAAAUCUUUCACCUUUUACUAAAGAUUUCCGUGGAAGAAUGCAUGUUUUCAUGAUGCAUCCAUAGAAAAUACUUCAUCAGCCCUAACUUACGUGCUA